AGUAGUUGUCAUACUUGUCAAAUGUCUGUAGUCUGCACAAUUAAAGGCCUGUGGGGAGAAGUUGGGGAGGGGGGAGCACUGUUUGAAAGAGAAUUUACAAUGAAAGAGAGUCUUCUCUUAAACAAUCAACAGGACACUAAUGAGAACUCUCCCUGUGGUUCUGACGCUCUCCCAAGAAGCAAAAGACAAAAGGUUUCAUUGUUAUCUGCCUGUUAUCUUACAAUUCUUCCAAGUCACUCUGUAAGAAGGCUGAAACACAGAGCAUGUAACAAGGUUCUGUGACUUCUUCAAAAGAGGUAUAAGUGAGGUUCAAAACAGUUUUGUCAUUUGGUUAGUUUGACCUAAGUGGUAAUGAACAGCUUCUUCCAAGUGUUCUUGAUUACAGUAGAAUCAAUGUUAAUUUUUAUAAGCAGUUGUUGUGCUAAUUUAUAAAAUGCAAAUGAAGUGAUGUGGCUUGAUUCACAGAAAGGUGGAGCUCAAAACUACAGCUGUUAAUUUGAACAACACCCAAACACCUUUUGCAACAACUGACUUCAGGUUACAUGAUAAAGACAAAGUUCUAUGAGGGUGUCACAAUGUCUUGCUUUUUUCCUUAAAGUCUCUUAUUUUCUUCACAUUUUGCUGUUCAUUAGUUUUUACUCUCUGGGAGAGAAGAAAAGUGUUUUAGUUGGUUGGGUUUUGUUUUCUUUGGUGCUGUUUAACCGGAAUGGAAAAGGUGUUUUUGCUAAAAACCUCACUUGUAAACUUUUUUCAAUAGAGAAGACAGACACAUUUUCUUAUCUUAAAAAUAAAACAGAAACAUCACCAAAAAAAAAAUAAUCA
This 822-nucleotide long non-coding RNA is filed under the name Anas platyrhynchos platyrhynchos (common mallard). Its description in RNAcentral is "lncRNA (ENSAPLG00000029142.1)". The record is from RNAcentral. Lineage: Eukaryota; Metazoa; Chordata; Aves; Anseriformes; Anatidae.